UCAACCAUGACCUUCAUCUCCAUCUUCAUCUGCACACUGGCUCUCUGCACUCAAGGAUCCAGAGGUCAGGUGACUGUGACUCAGAGUCCUGCAGUAAAACAUGUUGAUCCAGGAGCUUCAGUCACCAUCAACUGUAAAACAAGUUCUAAUGUUUAUCGAGAUGGUAAUGGAGAUUGGCUACACUGGUAUCAGCAGAAACCUGGAGAAGCUCCUAAACUCUUGAUCUACUGGACUAACAACAGAGCAUCAGGUAUUCCAGAUCGUUUCAGUGGCAGUGGAUCUGGAUCUGACUUCACUCUGACCAUCAGUAGAUUUGAGACUGGAGAUGCAGGAGAUUAUUACUGUCAGAGUUACCAUGUUAUCAGUAGUAGUGGUGUCUUC
Molecule: non-coding RNA, 381 nt
Organism: Trichomycterus rosablanca
Lineage: Eukaryota; Metazoa; Chordata; Actinopteri; Siluriformes; Trichomycteridae
Source: the annotation of a RefSeq genome assembly